Molecule: long non-coding RNA, 1159 nt
Filed under: Helianthus annuus (common sunflower)
Lineage: Eukaryota; Viridiplantae; Streptophyta; Magnoliopsida; Asterales; Asteraceae
Description: hypothetical non coding rna
Source: RNAcentral
AUGAAUCGAACAACAGAAUGCAAGUGCCAACAUCCCCUAUUUAUAUCUGAAAAGUGGUCUCCCCCGCGUGUCGCGACAGGGACCACUGAUCCUGUCGCGUGGCGCGACGGGUAACAAAAGUAGGGUAGGGUGGACACGUUUCGGGGUAGCUUUGCUGAGUUGAUUUUACGAUCAAAUUCAAUUUCAACAACGAAUUUAGAAGAUAACUAUUGAUUAGGGUUUAUCCCCCCUUGAGUUUUAGGGGCCCUGAUCCUGAUUCUGUUUAUUCUGAAAAUUUUAAGGAUUGUGCAGAAUUACUUGGGUGUCUCAACUAUGGUUCCCUAUUGGGUAAAUAAAAUAAUAGAUAUAACUUUUGAUAAAAUAAAAUAAUAUUAGUUUUGGGUAAAUUACAAAAAGAGAAUAAAAUAGUGAGAAAAAGGAAUGGACCCACUGUGUAACUUUAGGGUUUAACUAGAAAACCUCCUGGUAUGAAUUUUGGGUAUAACUUUUGGGCUAAAAAAAUAUAAUGUACUUGUGUUAAGUAUAGCACUCCUUAAUUCAACCUUGUCCCGAAGUCCCGAGAUAGAAUCCAAACGAACUUAGUCGGGUAGAGCCUUGACAUGCGUUAUGGGACUCAGAUCAAUCGGAAAGGGUAGCGGUGAUCGGGAGUUAAAACACUUAAAACGAACAAAGGCUUUUGAAGUAUUAUAAGUAUAAUACUAAAGCAAAAAUAGAGGUGUACAUGUAUAGGGAGUAGGGAGAUGGCGAGUAAGAUGAUAGGAAAAGAAAAAAUGGUUUUUAAGGAAAUGGGAAGGUUUAUAUAUAGUUGAAGUAAUUCGUGGAGAACAAGCUUCCAUAUUCAUUCCUGUACACCAUUCAUACACGUAGCCUACCAUUCAUACACGUAGCCAAUAAUGAAUUUCAAAAUUAUAUAUAUUUUCCUUUUAAUUCGGCCGACACACACGUAUCCAUCAAUUUCAUUUCUAUCUUAAAAUUUAUUAUUAUUUUAUUCUUAUAAUUAAUUCACCUGCUUCACUUAUUUGGCGCGUAUAACUGCUAAAAUAUGACGUUCUAGAAAAUAAUAAAUAUGUCAUUUGAACGAGAAUAUUUUUGUCUACAUUUUGAACCAACUUUCAUUAAAAACGGAGUAGGUUCAAAUGUAAUGUAUUUUUAUAAUUUA